RNAcentral lists this ribosomal RNA (496 nucleotides) under uncultured bacterium. RNAcentral's name for it is "partial 16S ribosomal RNA". It matches the Rfam family "Bacterial small subunit ribosomal RNA", at positions 29 to 507 of the family's 1533-position model. The record is from RNAcentral.
AUGAACGCUGGCGGCGUGCCUAAUACAUGCAAGUCGAGCGAACAGACGAGGAGCUUGCUCCUCUGACGUUAGCGGCGGACGGGUGAGUAACACGUGGAUAACCUACCUAUAAGACUGGGAUAACUUCGGGAAACCGGAGCUAAUACCGGAUAAUAUAUUGAACCGCAUGGUUCAAUAGUGAAAGACGGUUUUGCUGUCACUUAUAGAUGGAUCCGCGCCGCAUUAGCUAGUUGGUAAGGUAACGGCUUACCAAGGCAACGAUGCGUAGCCGACCUGAGAGGGUGAUCGGCCACACUGGAACUGAGACACGGUCCAGACUCCUACGGGAGGCAGCAGUAGGGAAUCUUCCGCAAUGGGCGAAAGCCUGACGGAGCAACGCCGCGUGAGUGAUGAAGGUCUUCGGAUCGUAAAACUCUGUUAUUAGGGAAGAACAAAUGUGUAAGUAGCUAUGCACGUCUUGACGGUACCUAAUCAGAAAGCCACGGCUAACUACGUG